This 66-nucleotide small RNA is filed under the name Pseudogracilibacillus auburnensis. RNAcentral's name for it is "Bacillaceae-1 RNA". It matches the Rfam family "Bacillaceae-1 RNA". The record is from Rfam by way of RNAcentral. Lineage: Bacteria; Bacillati; Bacillota; Bacilli; Caryophanales; Bacillaceae.
ACAAGUCGAACGCAGGUUAAGAGCGCCACGUCCUGUGUCAACACCUACACUAGCACGUCCUGUGCG